UACGUAGGGUGCAAGCGUUGUCCGGAAUUAUUGGGCGUAAAGAGCUCGUAGGCGGUCUGUCGCGUCGGAUGUGAAAAUCCAUGGCUCAACCCUGGACCUGCAUUCGAUACGGGCAGACUAGAGUUCGGCAGGAGAGUGGAAUUCCUGGUGUAGCGGUGAAAUGCGCAGAUAUCAGGAAGAACACCAAUGGCGAAGGCAGCUCUCUGGGACGGUACUGACGCUGAGACGCGAAAGCGUGGGGAGCGAACAGG
This 251-nucleotide ribosomal RNA is filed under the name uncultured bacterium. RNAcentral describes it as "partial 16S ribosomal RNA". It matches the Rfam family "Bacterial small subunit ribosomal RNA", at positions 524 to 776 of the family's 1533-position model. The record is from RNAcentral.